Molecule: ribosomal RNA, 474 nt
Filed under: uncultured bacterium
Lineage: Bacteria
Description: SSU rRNA
Rfam family: Bacterial small subunit ribosomal RNA
Source: RNAcentral
AGGACGAACGCUGGCGGCGUGCUUAACACAUGCAAGUCGAGCGGAAAGGCCCUUCGGGGUACUCGAGCGGCGAACGGGUGAGUAACACGUGAGUAACCUGCCCCUAGCUUCGGGAUAGCUCCGGGAAACCGGAAUUAAUACCGGAUAUGACCACGGCCGACAUCGGCCACGGUGGAAAGAUUCAUCGGCUAGGGAUGGGCUCGCGGCCUAUCAGCUUGUUGGUGGGGUAACAGCCUACCAAGGCGACGACGGGUAGCCGGCCUGAGAGGGCGACCGGCCACACUGGGACUGAGACACGGCCCAGACUCCUACGGGAGGCAGCAGUGGGGAAUAUUGCGCAAUGGGCGAAAGCCUGACGCAGCGACGCCGCGUGGGGGAUGAAGGCCUUCGGGUUCGUAAACCCUUUCAGCAGGGACGAAGCGAAGUGACGGUACCUGCAGAAGAAGCGCCGGCUAACUACGCGCCAGCAGCCGC